RNAcentral lists this ribosomal RNA (1338 nucleotides) under uncultured bacterium. RNAcentral's name for it is "bacterial SSU rRNA". It matches the Rfam family "Bacterial small subunit ribosomal RNA", at positions 63 to 1381 of the family's 1533-position model. The record is from RNAcentral.
CGAGCGAACGGACGAGAAGCUUGCUUCUCUGAUGUUAGCGGCGGACGGGUGAGUAACACGUGGAUAACCUACCUAUAAGACUGGGAUAACUUCGGGAAACCGGAGCUAAUACCGGAUAAUAUUUUGAACCGCAUGGUUCAAAAGUGAAAGACGGUCUUGCUGUCACUUAUAGAUGGAUCCGCGCUGCAUUAGCUAGUUGGUAAGGUAACGGCUUACCAAGGCAACGAUGCAUAGCCGACCUGAGAGGGUGAUCGGCCACACUGGAACUGAGACACGGUCCAGACUCCUACGGGAGGCAGCAGUAGGGAAUCUUCCGCAAUGGGCGAAAGCCUGACGGAGCAACGCCGCGUGAGUGAUGAAGGUCUUCGGAUCGUAAAACUCUGUUAUUAGGGAAGAACAUAUGUGUAGGUAACUGUGCACAUCUUGACGGUACCUAAUCAGAAAGCCACGGCUAACUACGUGCCAGCAGCCGCGGUAAUACGUAGGUGGCAAGCGUUAUCCGGAAUUAUUGGGCGUAAAGCGCGCGUAGGCGGUUUUUUAAGUCUGAUGUGAAAGCCCACGGCUCAACCCGUGGAGGGUCAUUGGAAACUGGAAAACUUGAGUGCAGAAGAGGAAAGUGGAAUUCCAUGUGUAGCGGUGAAAUGCGCAGAGAUAUGGAGGAACACCAGUGGCGAAGGCGACUUUCUGGUCUGUAACUGACGCUGAUGUGCGAAAGCGUGGGGAUCAAACAGGAUUAGAUACCCUGGUAGUCCACGCCGUAAACGAUGAGUGCUAAGUGUUAGGGGGUUUCCGCCCCUUAGUGCUGCAGCUAACGCAUUAAGCACUCCGCCUGGGGAGUACGACCGCAAGGUUGAAACUCAAAGGAAUUGACGGGGACCCGCACAAGCGGUGGAGCAUGUGGUUUAAUUCGAAGCAACGCGAAGAACCUUACCAAAUCUUGACACCCUUUGACAACUCUAGAGAUAGAGCCUUCCCCUUCGGGGGACAAAGUGACAGGUGGUGCAUGGUUGUCGUCAGCUCGUGUCGUGAGAUGUUGGGUUAAGUCCCGCAACGAGCGCAACCCUUAAGCUUAGUUGCCAUCAUUAAGUUGGGCACUCUAAGUUGACUGCCGGUGACAAACCGGAGGAAGGUGGGGAUGACGUCAAAUCAUCAUGCCCCUUAUGAUUUGGGCUACACACGUGCUACAAUGGACAAUACAAAGGGCAGCGAAACCGCGAGGUCAAGCAAAUCCCAUAAAGUUGUUCUCAGUUCGGAUUGUAGUCUGCAACUCGACUACAUGAAGCUGGAAUCGCUAGUAAUCGUAGAUCAGCAUGCUACGGUGAAUACGUUCCCGGGUCU